AGUUGGACUGGGGAAAAGAUCAUUAACUUGCUCAGACAUCUGAGGACAUCAGUGAACUCCUGUACCUCACUCACCAAGAACUCCUGGUAAGGAGGAUCUUUGUUCUGGAAUCCCCUGGGAAAAGACUCGUUUUGUGGAAAGAUUAGGAAUUCCUGGGUUGGAGAGUUGCCUUGGAAGAGACUUGCCUUUCCCUGAAGUCCAGAGAUCAACCUGUCAGAAACAACUUGGUUAAGGUAAACCCAAGGUUUUUGUCACUUAGGUGGUUUACCUAGGAAGCCAACCUCAGGCUUUGGGUAAGGACUCAGUACAUCUGUGAGUCCUGCAU
Molecule: long non-coding RNA, 325 nt
Filed under: Monodelphis domestica (gray short-tailed opossum)
Lineage: Eukaryota; Metazoa; Chordata; Mammalia; Didelphimorphia; Didelphidae
Description: lncRNA (ENSMODG00000043476.1)
Source: RNAcentral